AUUCCUUUAAAUAAUAAUUUUGAGUAGUAGUAGAGUUCUUGAAACUAAAAGAGUUUGGCGGUAUUUAAGUCUAUCUAGAGGAACCUGUAAUGUAAUCGAUAAUCCACGGGCAUCUAACUUAAUUUCCGUUUGUAUAUCGUUGUCAUCAGAAUUACCUAGAAAGGUUUUUUCAAGAUAUUUUGGUUAAAAUGUCAAAUCAAGGUGCAGUAAAUAUUUAAGGAUUUAUGGGUUACAAUGCUAAGAGGUAUACGGAUUGUUUUAUGAAAUUACUAUAUGAAGGAGGAUUUAGUUGUAAUACUCAAUAAUUAAGUGGGUAUGAAAUAGUACUGGAAUAUGC
Molecule: ribosomal RNA, 337 nt
Filed under: Cermatobius japonicus
Lineage: Eukaryota; Metazoa; Arthropoda; Chilopoda; Lithobiomorpha; Henicopidae
Description: partial 12S ribosomal RNA
Source: RNAcentral